CACGCUUGAUUUGGCUUUCUGCCAGCGAGAGCAUUGUCCCAGCACCUUUUCCUUUCAACCUUUUCUACUAAAACUACAAGAAACAAAUUUAUGUCAAAGAACAUUGACUGGCUGGAGAGCUGAUAUAAGUUAGUGUUGCUGAAAUGCUGCGAAGAUGUAGAACACUUCAGAAAUGCUGCUUGUCCUGAAUGGCGAUCCGAACAGGUGGUAAAUGAAUAUCCACGCAGAGGAGAGUGGAGACUCAGACUUUGUACUCGGGAGAGUGGUACCUCUCGAAGUUCGGUCCACAACGGAUCAGCUGAGCACUGCUGCAAUUUAUAGGAAAGAAUCAAGAUCCUUCUCCUUGUCAAAAGAUUAAUGAUACAUGUCCAUAUGGAAGAAGUUAUGCAAGAAAGUUUUCUGUCGGUCCAAGUGCAAGUGAAUUCUCUUUAUCUUCCACUGACUUAUCUGAGUUCCAGCGAGGUCAACAACUCCCCUCUCCCCUGCAUUCCUCCGUCCUGCAUUUUUAUCAUUGCUUCAGAGAUAUUAGACUCCUUCAUACCAAACACUAAGGAACCUUCAUAAGAGAAGGUUUCUGCUGCUGAGACCUUAAGGACGGAAAAGAUGCAGCAAGACUCAGGCACUCUUUGGACACAGCUUGCCUACAGAUCCACGGGAAACGUGCAGCAAGGUCUUCAGCCAGCCUAUUGCAGUGACUUCAGUAAAGGUUCCCCUCACACUUGAUUUAAGUGUUUAUACCAGAUGACCAUUGCCCUAAAUGCCAGUGAGUGUACUCAGGCAUAGUUUAUUACAACAGGAUGUUAUAGACAUUUCAGUUUCACGUGCUCCCACAGACCAAGAUUAAUUUAGGAAUCCUGUUAAUUCUAAAAGCUGAACCAAUAAAGCACAGUAAGGGCUAAGCAGUGUUUGCCAGAAUAAAAUAAGUUGAAAAUAAUCCAACUCUUUUCUUGGGGUUCGUACUUGCUUCCCUUAGCCUGUGUGCAAACCUUCUGAGGAGCAAAGGCUGUCAAGAAUGCUGAAAGUCAAUUACUACCGGCUCUCAGAGUACAACACAGAAGAAAACCAUCUAAUUUUGGCAAAAAUGCUCACUCUACACUCAUAUUGCUGCUGGUUUUCAAAGGUACAUUGUUGCUUAUUAAUAUGAACCCAAAAGAUUACUAUUAACUCAGGGAUAUGUGUCCACUCGAAAAGAUUGUGACUGACCUUAUGGUACAUGAAAGCAUUGGUAUAGCUAAGGUGACAAAAGGGUGUUCUUUUACAUCAUCAAGCUAGCUCAACUGAAAUUACAUAAGUAUAUAAGAUAACACCCAACAAUACCAUUAGCUGCUGCUAAAGAGGAAGCUAUUGAAUUGAACUGGCAUUAUGCAUCAGUGGAAGGGGUGAGAGAAUUCAGUUCUGGCCGAAAAAGAAGCAAUAAAAAAGCUGGUUUAUGGGAUCUGUUUUUGUUUUGAGAAGCUAUCAUGCAACAUCACAACACUGUCAACGCAGUUCCUUCCUCUUCUGUCUGUACUGGUCCGACUUAGUGUUUGCUGACUGUCUUGAUUCUUUCAUUGAUAGUAUAUGGACACUAUUUUAAUUGUCAUCUGCUCCGUAUUUAGCUUCAAACUGUCCCAUGAACACCUCUACCUUCGCUUGACAGAAGUAACGUCCUACACAAUGGCAUAGGGCAGGUCUUUCAUCUGUGACUACAACGCAUAUUACAGAGACUCUAGUACUACAAAUUCACGGCAAAAUCACACAGGAAAGUCACCUCCAUUGGGAAGAUCCAGCUAAUCCAGCAAAGCCCUAAGCCAGGUUUUCACCAGCUCAGAGAUGUUAAUAAAAUCUGUUCUGUAAAGAGAUACACCGAUAAUUUCAGUAAACUCAGGAACUAGUAUCGUGAGACAGAUAGAUGCUGCACAUAACGUCUAGAGAAAAAAAAAUAUGACUUCAUUGAAUAAAGCAAGCACAAAUGGUACAUUGAAAGCAUUUAAGCAAAAGUGCAAGAUCCACAGAGAAUAUCAUCAUGGACAGUAAAUAAAAGGCUCCACAGGCAGUCACUCUGUGCACCCAUGGCUAGAUUUCAAGAUGCCAUUAAGUAUCUCUGUAAACAAUUUAUUUAUUAAGGAGACAGUUUGAUUUACAAGUAUUGGGUCCAACAAGUUACUAUCUAGCAAGAAGCAUCAGGGCACAUCUGUUCAGUGUCUGACUGGAACUCCACUUGCUUACCAAGUGCGCACAGCCCCCUUAGUCCAAAGCACUUUACAGACUUUCAUAUAAAGUCUCUGUUGCAUUUUGCUAUUAAAGGAAGUUACUUACAAGGUGGAAGCACAUAGAAGUAACAAGAUUGUGUCCAGCUAACAGAAAAAAACAAAGUAAGGGGUCAAAGUUAAAUCCCAGGAAUGCAGUUUGAGCUGACCCACUAAGACUAAUGCUCAGAGGUGGGCAGAAGCAUCCAUGUGUCACCGGCACCUGCGACUGUAUGAGAGCUUGGUGUGACUUCCUACACAAAAGAUGGCACCAUCACUCCUUGUACUACCCCACCACCUGGAAGACGAAUUCUUACUGACUCCAGGGAACACUUCCUUCUGCUGCAUCAUCAGCCAUGGACAAGUCUGGCCAAGGGUAUUUUGCUGAUCGUGACAGUGGCAGGAAAGCAGAACAUUUGUAAUAAGGUUUCCCCACCACAGAACUUAGUUGUUUCAUAAAUGCACAUCAAUUUGUAAAAUACAAACAGGUGACAUUCCCUUUUUUUUUUUUUUGAUUGACUAAAUAGAAUUAUCCUGUAGA
Molecule: non-coding RNA, 2769 nt
Organism: Phalacrocorax carbo (great cormorant)
Lineage: Eukaryota; Metazoa; Chordata; Aves; Suliformes; Phalacrocoracidae
Source: RefSeq, a predicted model, not a curated record